Bactrocera dorsalis (oriental fruit fly) is the source of this 347-nucleotide long non-coding RNA. RefSeq lists it as uncharacterized. The record is from RefSeq and is a predicted model, not a curated record. The transcript has 2 exons. Lineage: Eukaryota; Metazoa; Arthropoda; Insecta; Diptera; Tephritidae.
CUGGUACCAGUAAAAUACAGUUAACUCGCUUUGAUGUGAACUAUUAAGAAGACUUAAGGAUACAAUUUUAUUACUCAAAUAAAAUAGUCCGUGCCAAUAUUACUAGGCAAUAUAAUAUAAGUAUAAAUUAUCAGCUACGUCGUCUACGUCUCCGCUAUUUGACGUCGUUUUUGCAAAAGAUUCAGAUUUUUUGGAACGAGCGCAACAUUGACACGCCCAAAGCAUUAACCAAAAAGUGUUGGAGGCCUCGUCUAUCGCUCUGAUGUGAACACGAGCGAUUCGAUCUGACGAUUUGCAAACAUUAUUUCUUUAACUUUUCGAUGUUAUGAUUAUUAAAAGAGGUGGAU